GCCAUGAAGUGAGCAGUUUGAUCUACCAUGAACUCCCUGCCAUUACCAUCCAGCAUUCCCACCCAAGUUCAAAUCCAUGGGUCUAUCCUAUCUUGGACUGGAACCUCCAGAACAAUGAGGGUAUUUAACUGGCACUCAGAGAGUUGCCUUCUGGCUUUCAAAGUUCAGAGAGUGAGGACUAAGAGGAUCUGCUGGCUAAAUUGCAAAGGAUGAGACACUGCCCUUUAUGUUCCAUGACUUCUCUUUGCACACAAAGGAACACUUGUUCAAUCUCUCCAUCCAUUCAUCCAACCCUUGUUGAGCACCUGCUAUGUUGACAAUUCAUCCCAUGACCCUGGUGCCCUGGCAUCCAGGAUUUACAGAGCAACUGGUAGGAGCAAAGAAGAGGCCCAUGGCCACGAGGCAGUGAAACAAUCACCUGUUGUAGGAGUUGAGCGCCCAGUCAAGCAAGAGUCCUAGUCAACUGGGUUAACUGAUGGGCCCACCUCAAGUACUUCAGAAUUUUUUUCCCCCAAAACCAUCCUCUGCUGACUCUACGUUCAGUCCUGUAAUCGGUAUCUUAUUCUAACAAUGUGUGAGUGUCAAUGUCAUGGCCCAAGUUUCUUUUACUACUAAGACACGGGAUCUCAGGAAUGAUUACUAGAAUCCUUUGUCUUGAAUUACAGUUUAACUAACCUAUUGCAUCCCUGACAUUUGCCAUCUAAGUUUCCAAGUGUCCUCUGACCCCUCAUUUCACAGAACUGGUCUUCCCUUGACUUUCCAUUCUGGGUAUCUAGUCUAUUUCCUUGCAAUUUUUACUGCUCUUCCCAAGGUAUAAAGCCUGGGUGGAGGUCCUGGCAUGGACCUCCAUGAAAUACUGGGAUUCCAGAUAGCACUCACUCGAUUUUGUUAACCAUCCCUGACCACGAGUGAGGCCAUCCUGCUACUUCUGUCCUCUAACCUUGCUCAGUGACCUUGGUGCCAUGCCUGACUUCCUUGUCUGAACUUCUGUUGUCACUUUGGACUGUCCUAUUUCAGCAGCUCCACCCUGACUCCCAGUGUGUCUUGUGCCUUACUGAAAAGUCUUAAAAUCCGAUAGGGUGGAUAGUGCUGUUGCUGUUACUAUAUUGUCUUCCUGUUAGGAAAGCUAAGGCUCAGAGAUAUUGAGUGGCUGGGCCAAGUACAUAUCUAAUAACAGCAGAGCCAGACCUCAAGCUUGGACUCCUGUCUCUAAGUGGUUUGAUCUUUGCCCAAAUGCUAUAUAUGCUAUUUUGCUCUAAAAAUCUUAAGGAUGGGUUUUAAGAUUUAAAUGUGAUUAAAAAAACUGUAAAUGUUCAGGACAUAAAUGUCUUGUUGUGAUUAUCAACAGUCAAUGGGCUUCCUCCAGUUUGUAGUAAUGUGUUUCUUCUGGAUGUGUCCAGGGUCUUUGAAACAGAAAAGCUGCUACUCUCUGAAGCCUGCACAUGGGUGGGAACUUAUAGCAAUGUCUACAGAUGCCAGGUGUGAACAAGUCACAUUCCAAAAGUUCAUUUGUGGUCAUGUAGAAUGGAGGCCUCAUUUUCCCAAACAGAUAGUUCUAUAAAUGGUGGUUAGAUUCUUGGGCUGGCCUACAACAGCUGUUUAACUGAUGAUGCAGCUGGAGCACAUUUCUUAUUCACCGAGUACUGAAGUAAUGUAUUUAUUAUGCUCUUGCAACAUAAUAAUCAAGUUCCUGAUCAAAUAAGAAUGUUUGUUUUCA
Ictidomys tridecemlineatus (thirteen-lined ground squirrel) is the source of this 1717-nucleotide non-coding RNA. The record is from RefSeq and is a predicted model, not a curated record. Lineage: Eukaryota; Metazoa; Chordata; Mammalia; Rodentia; Sciuridae.